This 497-nucleotide ribosomal RNA is filed under the name uncultured bacterium. RNAcentral describes it as "partial 16S ribosomal RNA". It matches the Rfam family "Bacterial small subunit ribosomal RNA", at positions 28 to 507 of the family's 1533-position model. The record is from RNAcentral.
GAUGUACGCUGGCGGCGUGCCUAAUACAUGCAAGUCGAGCGAACGGACGAGAAGCUUGCUUCUCUGAUGUUAGCGGCGGACGGGUGAGUAACACGUGGAUAACCUACCUAUAAGACUGGGAUAACUUCGGGAAACCGGAGCUAAUACCGGAUAAUAUUUUGAACCGCAUGGUUCAAAAGUGAAAGACGGUCUUGCUGUCACUUAUAGAUGGAUCCGCGCUGCAUUAGCUAGUUGGUAAGGUAACGGCUUACCAAGGCAACGAUGCAUAGCCGACCUGAGAGGGUGAUCGGCCACACUGGAACUGAGACACGGUCCAGACUCCUACGGGAGGCAGCAGUAGGGAAUCUUCCGCAAUGGGCGAAAGCCUGACGGAGCAACGCCGCGUGAGUGAUGAAGGUCUUCGGAUCGUAAAACUCUGUUAUUAGGGAAGAACAUAUGUGUAAGUAACUGUGCACAUCUUGACGGUACCUAAUCAGAAAGCCACGGCUAACUACGUG